RNAcentral lists this long non-coding RNA (496 nucleotides) under Sorghum bicolor (sorghum). Its description in RNAcentral is "long non-coding RNA (SBIC_LNC011879)". The record is from RNAcentral. Lineage: Eukaryota; Viridiplantae; Streptophyta; Magnoliopsida; Poales; Poaceae.
CAUGACAGAUUUUGUAAGUCACAUCUUCAGAGAAAUAUUCAUCUUGGCCUGUUGGACAAUCUGGAAAAUAGAAAUGGUGUCAUCUUUAACAAUAGAGUAGCCUCCCUUGCUGAAUGGAAAAUUCUUCAAAAAGAAGAACUUGGCCUGGUUUGUAUCAAGGCCAAGAAAAGGAUUAUUGAUCCCCUAAAAACGUGGUGUGAGAGUAGACUUUAACAGCUCCUUUGUAUUUUUGUUUUUGGCCUUGAAGGCCUUCUUGUAUUCUUUAUUCUUUUGUUUAUACCUUAAUAAAAGAAAAAAUAGGUAGGGGUCUUCCCUGCCGAUUGCUUCAAAAAAAAAAGAUAGAUGUAUGGUGAAGAAAGAGAGGCCAUGGAUACGAAGGUGAUGACAAAAAAAGGAUAAAAAAUAUAAAUGUAUUAUGAGCAUUUUACUUUUAUCUACCAUGAGAAACUGGUUUAUCAAAACAGCUUCAGGUGCUAAAGAAAAAAAUUGUUCCACC